GGGGCCCGCACAAGCGGUGGAGCAUGUGGUUUAAUUCGAAGCAACGCGAAGAACCUUACCAGGUCUUGACAUCCCCUGACAACCCGAGAGAUCGGGCGUUCCCCUUCGGGGUGACAGGGAGACAGGUGGUGCAUGGUUGUCGUCAGCUCGUGUCGUGAGAUGUUGGGUUUAAGUCCCGCAACGAGCGCAACCCCUACGUUUAGUUGCUAACGCGUGAAGGCGAGCACUCUAGACGAACUGCCGUUGACAAAACGGAGGAAGGUGGGAUGACGUCAAAUCAUCAUGCCCCUUAUGUUCUGGGCUACACACGUGCUACAAUGGCCGGUACAGACGGACGCAAAGCCGCGAGGUGGAGCAAAUCCUAAAAAGCCGGUCUCAGUUCGGAUUGCAGGCUGCAAUUCGCCUGCAUGAAGUCGGAAUCGCUAGUAAUCGCAGGUCAGCAUACUGCGGUGAAUACGUUCCCGGGCCUU
This 470-nucleotide ribosomal RNA is filed under the name uncultured Pelotomaculum sp. RNAcentral describes it as "bacterial SSU rRNA". It matches the Rfam family "Bacterial small subunit ribosomal RNA", at positions 916 to 1382 of the family's 1533-position model. Lineage: Bacteria; Bacillati; Bacillota; Clostridia; Eubacteriales; Desulfotomaculaceae. The record is from RNAcentral.